GUACGGGAACCGGGAUUAAUACCGCAUAAAAUCGUAGAAACACAUGUUUUAACGGUCAAAGAUUUAUCGGUCAUAGAUGGGCUCGCGUCUGAUUAGCUAGUUGGUGAGAUAACAGCCCACCAAGGCGACGAUCAGUAGCCGGUCUGAGAGGAUGAACGGCCACAUUGGAACUGAGACACGGUCCAA
Molecule: ribosomal RNA, 186 nt
Filed under: uncultured Eubacteriales bacterium
Lineage: Bacteria; Bacillati; Bacillota; Clostridia; Eubacteriales
Description: uncultured Clostridiales bacterium partial 16S ribosomal RNA
Rfam family: Bacterial small subunit ribosomal RNA
Source: RNAcentral